UACGAAGGGGGCUAGCGUUGCUCGGAAUCACUGGGCGUAAAGCGCACGUAGGCGGCUUCUUAAGUCAGGGGUGAAAUCCUGGAGCUCAACUCCAGAACUGCCUUUGAUACUGAGGAGCUUGAGUCCGGGAGAGGUGAGUGGAACUGCGAGUGUAGAGGUGAAAUUCGUAGAUAUCGGGAGGAACACCAGUGGCGAAGGCGGCGAUCUGGGCAGACACUGACGCUGAGGUGCGAAAGCGUGGGGAGCAAACAGG
Molecule: ribosomal RNA, 253 nt
Filed under: uncultured bacterium
Lineage: Bacteria
Description: partial 16S ribosomal RNA
Rfam family: Bacterial small subunit ribosomal RNA
Source: RNAcentral